GAUUUAAAUAAAGAAUUAGUCAUAUAAAGUUCGUUUUUAAAUAAUUUGUUAUUGUUUGUACUUGAUAGAAAGAAAUCAUAAGCAUAAAUCUUGCUUAUGUAAGAUUUGGACUUAAAACUAACCUAAAAAAAGUGAAAAAUUUGAUUUAGAUCCAUGACCAACAAAGCAGACUUUCCAAAAAAUUGUUUUAAACUAACAAAUUAUUUUCAUAAAAACGGGAUGUCUUUUUGACGCAGUUUUUGCUUCUCUGCUUUUUUACGUGACCCGUCUUCUUCUGGGGCAUCUUUUAAAAGGUUUUUUUGAAUUAUAUCUGAUUUAUUUUGAGUAGUUUUUUUAUUCCACCUAGAUCAUCUUGAUAUGUUGUGAAAUGAAGUAAGGUUAUGUUAUCAGUCAACAAUAAUUUUUUGAUUAAUAAAAGUUAUUUCACUUUA
This is a non-coding RNA of Onthophagus taurus, 431 nucleotides long. The record is from RefSeq and is a predicted model, not a curated record. Lineage: Eukaryota; Metazoa; Arthropoda; Insecta; Coleoptera; Scarabaeidae.